RNAcentral lists this ribosomal RNA (187 nucleotides) under uncultured Glomeromycotina. RNAcentral describes it as "partial 18S ribosomal RNA". It matches the Rfam family "Eukaryotic small subunit ribosomal RNA", at positions 892 to 1078 of the family's 1831-position model. Lineage: Eukaryota; Fungi; Glomeromycota. The record is from RNAcentral.
UAGUAUUCAAUUGUCAGAGGUGAAAUUCUUGGAUUUAUUGAAGACUAACUACUGCGAAAGCUUUUGCCAAGGAUGUUUUCAUUAAUCAAGAACGAAAGAUAGGGGAUCGAAGACGAUCAGAUACCGUCGUAGUCUUAACCAUAAACUAUGCCGACUAGGAAUCGGGCGACGUUAUUUUCAUGACUCG